AACGCACGAGACCUGCGGACCUGCGGAGGGAUCAUUAGUGAACGCCCUCACGGGCUUAUAACUAUUCCAAACCUCUGUGAACCGUGCCCUUCGGGGCUAUUUUACAAACGUGGUGUAAUGAACGUCAUAUAUCAUAACAAAACAAAACUUUUAACAACGGAUCUCU
RNAcentral lists this unclassified non-coding RNA (166 nucleotides) under soil metagenome. Its description in RNAcentral is "partial contains 5.8S ribosomal RNA, internal transcribed spacer 2, and large subunit ribosomal RNA". The record is from RNAcentral.